Molecule: ribosomal RNA, 274 nt
Filed under: uncultured bacterium
Lineage: Bacteria
Description: partial 16S ribosomal RNA
Rfam family: Bacterial small subunit ribosomal RNA
Source: RNAcentral
AUACAGAGGGCUCGAGCGUUAAUCGGUGUCACUGGGCUUAAAGGGUGUGUAGGCGGGCCCGCAAGUGUCUUGUGAAAUCCCACGGCUCAACCGUGGCAUGGCUUGGCAAACUGCGGGCCUUGAGGUCGGCAGAGGUCGCCGGAACUCUAGGUGUAGCGGUGAAAUGCGUAGAUAUCUAGAGGAACGCCCAAGGUGAAGACAGGCGGCUGGGCCGAUUCUGACGCUGAGGCACGAAAGCAUGGGUAGCGAACGGGAUUAGAAACCCCAGUAGUCC